UUAAAUUGAAGAGUUUGAUCAUGGCUCAGAUUGAACGCUGGCGGCAGGCCUAACACAUGCAAGUCGAACGGUAACAGGAAGCAGCUUGCUGCUUUGCUGACGAGUGGCGGACGGGUGAGUAAUGUCUGGGAAACUGCCUGAUGGAGGGGGAUAACUACUGGAAACGGUGGCUAAUACCGCAUAACGUCGCAAGACCAAAGAGGGGGACCUUCGGGCCUCUUGCCAUCAGAUGUGCCCAGAUGGGAUUAGCUUGUUGGUGAGGUAACGGCUCACCAAGGCGACGAUCCCUAGCUGGUCUGAGAGGAUGACCAGCCACACUGGAACUGAGACACGGUCCAGACUCCUACGGGAGGCAGCAGUGGGGAAUAUUGCACAAUGGGCGCAAGCCUGAUGCAGCCAUGCCGCGUGUAUGAAGAAGGCCUUCGGGUUGUAAAGUACUUUCAGCGGGGAGGAAGGUGUUGUGGUUAAUAACCACAGCAAUUGACGUUACCCGCAGAAGAAGCACCGGCUAACUCCGUGCCAGCAGCCGCGGUAAUACGGAGGGUGCAAGCGUUAAUCGGAAUUACUGGGCGUAAAGCGCACGCAGGCGGUCUGUCAAGUCGGAUGUGAAAUCCCCGGGCUCAACCUGGGAACUGCAUUCGAAACUGGCAGGCUUGAGUCUUGUAGAGGGGGGUAGAAUUCCAGGUGUAGCGGUGAAAUGCGUAGAGAUCUGGAGGAAUACCGGUGGCGAAGGCGGCCCCCUGGACAAAGACUGACGCUCAGGUGCGAAAGCGUGGGGAGCAAACAGGAUUAGAUACCCUGGUAGUCCACGCCGUAAACGAUGUCUACUUGGAGGUUGUGCCCUUGAGGCGUGGCUUCCGGAGCUAACGCGUUAAGUAGACCGCCUGGGGAGUACGGCCGCAAGGUUAAAACUCAAAUGAAUUGACGGGGGCCCGCACAAGCGGUGGAGCAUGUGGUUUAAUUCGAUGCAACGCGAAGAACCUUACCUGGUCUUGACAUCCACAGAACUUUCCAGAGAUGGACUGGUGCCUUCGGGAACUGUGAGACAGGUGCUGCAUGGCUGUCGUCAGCUCGUGUUGUGAAAUGUUGGGUUAAGUCCCGCAACGAGCGCAACCCUUAUCCUUUGUUGCCAGCGGUCCGGCCGGGAACUCAAAGGAGACUGCCAGUGAUAAACUGGAGGAAGGUGGGGAUGACGUCAAGUCAUCAUGGCCCUUACGACCAGGGCUACACACGUGCUACAAUGGCGCAUACAAAGAGAAGCGACCUCGCGAGAGCAAGCGGACCUCAUAAAGUGCGUCGUAGUCCGGAUUGGAGUCUGCAACUCGACUCCAUGAAGUCGGAAUCGCUAGUAAUCGUGGAUCAGAAUGCCACGGUGAAUACGUUCCCGGGCCUUGUACACACCGCCCGUCACACCAUGGGAGUGGGUUGCAAAAGAAGUAGGUAGCUUAACCUUCGGGAGGGCGCUUACCACUUUGUGAUUCAUGACUGGGGUGAAGUCGUAACAAGGUAACCGUAGGGGAACCUGCGGUUGGAUCACCUCCUUACCUUAAAGAAGC
RNAcentral lists this ribosomal RNA (1556 nucleotides) under Salmonella enterica subsp. enterica serovar Derby. RNAcentral describes it as "bacterial SSU rRNA". It matches the Rfam family "Bacterial small subunit ribosomal RNA". RNAcentral also lists the same sequence under 1 other name. The record is from RNAcentral. Lineage: Bacteria; Pseudomonadati; Pseudomonadota; Gammaproteobacteria; Enterobacterales; Enterobacteriaceae.